This is a non-coding RNA of Aedes albopictus (Asian tiger mosquito), 125 nucleotides long. The record is from Rfam. Lineage: Eukaryota; Metazoa; Arthropoda; Insecta; Diptera; Culicidae.
UGCCCAGCAACUCCUAUCCCUACCUCCACGCGGUACCGGCCGGAAACUAUGAGCAACCUUAGGGUUUAGGGAAGAUCGGGUAACCAACCCCGGUGGGAACUUUGUUCGUAGGCUGACAGGGAAGG